This 860-nucleotide ribosomal RNA is filed under the name Psychrobacter submarinus. RNAcentral's name for it is "bacterial SSU rRNA". It matches the Rfam family "Bacterial small subunit ribosomal RNA", at positions 393 to 1245 of the family's 1533-position model. The record is from RNAcentral. Lineage: Bacteria; Pseudomonadati; Pseudomonadota; Gammaproteobacteria; Moraxellales; Moraxellaceae.
CAUGCCGCGUGUGUGAAGAAGGCCUUUUGGUUGUAAAGCACUUUAAGCAGUGAAGAAGACCUAACGGUUAAUACCCGUUAGCGAUGACAUUAGCUGCAGAAUAAGCACCGGCUAACUCUGUGCCAGCAGCCGCGGUAAUACAGAGGGUGCAAGCGUUAAUCGGAAUUACUGGGCGUAAAGCGAGCGUAGGUGGCUUGAUAAGUCAGAUGUGAAAUCCCCGGGCUUAACCUGGGAACUGCAUCUGAUACUGUUAGGCUAGAAUAGGUGAGAGGAAGGUAGAAUUCCAGGUGUAGCGGUGAAAUGCGUAGAGAUCUGGAGGAAUACCGAUGGCGAAGGCAGCCUUCUGGCAUCAUAUUGACACUGAGGUUCGAAAGCGUGGGUAGCAAACAGGAUUAGAUACCCUGGUAGUCCACGCCGUAAACGAUGUCUACUAGUCGUUGGGUCCCUUGAGGACUUAGUGACGCAGCUAACGCAAUAAGUAGACCGCCUGGGGAGUACGGCCGCAAGGUUAAAACUCAAAUGAAUUGACGGGGGCCCGCACAAGCGGUGGAGCAUGUGGUUUAAUUCGAUGCAACGCGAAGAACCUUACCUGGUCUUGACAUAUCUAGAAUCCUGCAGAGAUGCGGGAGUGCCUUCGGGAAUUAGAAUACAGGUGCUGCAUGGCUGUCGUCAGCUCGUGUCGUGAGAUGUUGGGUUAAGUCCCGCAACGAGCGCAACCCUUGUCCUUAGUUACCAGCGGGUUAAGCCGGGAACUCUAAGGAUACUGCCAGUGACAAACUGGAGGAAGGCGGGGACGACGUCAAGUCAUCAUGGCCCUUACGACCAGGGCUACACACGUGCUACAAUGGUAGGUACAGAGG